This 253-nucleotide ribosomal RNA is filed under the name uncultured bacterium. Its description in RNAcentral is "partial 16S ribosomal RNA". It matches the Rfam family "Bacterial small subunit ribosomal RNA", at positions 524 to 776 of the family's 1533-position model. The record is from RNAcentral.
UACGUAGGGUGCGAGCGUUAUUCGGAAUUACUGGGCGUAAAGCGUGCGCAGGCGGUUUUUCAAGACAGAUGUGAAAUCCCCGGGCUUAACCUGGGAAUGGCAUUUGUGACUGGAAGGCUAGAGGGUGUCAGAGGGGGGUAGAAUUCCACGUGUAGCAGUGAAAUGCGUAGAGAUGUGGAGGAAUACCGAUAGCGAAGGCAGCUCCCUGGGAUAACACUGACGCUCAUGCACGAAAGCGUGGGGAGCAAACAGG